CCUGUGAUGUUUUAAUACUUAAGUUCUUAAAUACUUCCUUUGCAUUUUUUUUUCACAAAGUCAUAAAUUUGGUUGUUGCACGCGCAAAGCUCAAAGUAUUUGUUUAGGAUUCAGACAAAUUCUCUGUGUUACAAAUGUGGUGUGCAUUGUUUGAUUUUAAAAAGUUUUGUCAUAUAAGUUGGAUAUCAAAAUUUGUAAUAUUCUAAAAACCGACUAUAUACUGGACUAGAUCUUUAAGAUUGGUGAUUGCUGAAAAAAAAUGCUUUGCUACCAGACUAUUCACCAUCUGUAGUGAAUUAAGGUUUUUAGGCAAUCAAAGAACUUGAAGACAGCAUCGAAGAAAGCAUCGAAAAUAUUUUCACCCCGGACAUUGUGCUAAAUGUCAACAGAAGAAUAGUACGCCCUGCUUAUGCUGUCCUAAUGGAGAAUAAGACGGAAACGCUAUCAGCUGUUCCUUUUUCAAAAUAUCGACAGCGAUUUGUUUUAUGUAAUUAAUUUCUUUAAAUUAUAAGCGUUUAUAUGUUAAAUGCUAAAAUAUAUGAAAAAUGUAUUUCUUUGUUGUAAUAGUUUUUUAAGGGAGUGUACACGGAUUUUUUAUGGUUUUUACAACAAAUAGAAACGUACAUCAAACAUCGAAAACCACAACGCGAAAUGAGCCGCGUCAUGAGAAAACCAACAUAGUGGCUUUGCGACCAGCAUGGAUCCAGACCAGCCUGUGCAUCCGCGCAGUCUGGUCAGGAUCCAUGCUGUUCGCUUUCAAAGCCUAUUGCAGUUAGAGAAACUGUCAUCAAUUUCACUGCCUGACUUCCGCUUUAGAAUUUCUUACAGUCAGGACGAGAGUAAUGACACAUAGUGGCACAGAACUUCUCAAAGACUUUAUAUUUAUAGGUUAUUAGAUUUGUAUCGGGAAAUAUGCACAAGUUCUGCAGCGGAAAUAUUGCGCGACUUUAGGAGCACAAUAUUAUUCCGCAAAAGAACGAGUGCAUAUUUAUUUCUCGAUGCAAAUCUAAUACUCUUUUUAUUACAUACAAAAACUACACUUACAAUUAUUAUAUAAGUGAUAUAAUUUGUUCUUCAGCCUGUGUAAAAUUGAAAAUAUUGUCGUUAAACUUUUAAACGCGACGGAAUGCAGGAAACUGACGUCACAAAUGACGUCACGCACCUGAUAUGAAAUUUGAACGUCAAUAUGGAAUAAUAUUGACGUUUCAGGUUCCACUGUAACUUAACGGAAUGUUUUAUUGAGUAUGUAAUAAUUAUAAUUACAUGUAUUUACAAAUGAAGCAUUUCUAUACUUUCGGAAAUAAAUGUAUUGAUGGUUAGUAAUAAGCAAUGUGUCACAAGUAACUCACUACCUUCUAGAAUGGAACAGAACAGAACGAAAACUACAAUUUAUUUACAAAGACACAAAUUACAAAAAUCGAGGAUUUUGUAAAUAAGAUAUGGACAAUAUUGUACACAGGUAAAUAUUACGGAUGACAUCAAACCUAUUGUUUUAUCAAACUGAAUAAGAAAUGUUACCUGAUUUGAAUGUGUUAAAUUGAUUGAAUAAAUACCUAACUACC
This is a long non-coding RNA of Mercenaria mercenaria, 1562 nucleotides long. RefSeq lists it as uncharacterized. The transcript is spliced from 3 exons. NCBI's taxonomy places the organism in Eukaryota, Metazoa, Mollusca, Bivalvia, Venerida, Veneridae. The record is from RefSeq and is a predicted model, not a curated record.